AUGUGUUUUCAAGCAGAAGCUAAAGCCAGAUGGAUCAAUUGGCAAACUCAAAGCAAGAUUAGUAUAGUAGCAAGAGACUUUCUACAGAAGCCUGGGAUGGAUUACUCUGGAGUGUUUGCACAUGUACUGAGAUAUAAAAUAAUCAGACUAGUGAUUGCAAUAGCUGCUAACAUGAAUUGGCCUCUGAUGCAUUUAGAUGUAAAAUCUACAUUUCUGAAUGGUCCAUUACAAGAAGAGGUAUACGUAUCACAACCUCCUGGAUUUGAGAAAAAGAAUCAGGAAGGGAUGGUGUUCAAAUUACACAAAGCCUUGUAUGGAUUGAAG
Molecule: non-coding RNA, 324 nt
Organism: Vicia faba (fava bean)
Lineage: Eukaryota; Viridiplantae; Streptophyta; Magnoliopsida; Fabales; Fabaceae
Source: the annotation of a GenBank genome assembly